UACGUAGGAGACGAGCGUUGUCCGGAGUUACUGGGCGUAAAGGGUGCGCAGGUGGCGGCGCGCGUGGGGGGUGAAAUCGCCCGGCUUAACUGGGCGGGGGCCUUCCAGACGGCGUGGCUUGAGCAGCGGAGGGGGACGUGGAAUUCCGGGUGGAGCGGUGAAAUGCGUAGAGAUCCGGCAGAAGACCGGUGGCGAAGGCGGCCAGCUGGGCAGUAACUGACACUGAGGCGCGACAGCGUGGGGAGCAAACAGG
This 253-nucleotide ribosomal RNA is filed under the name uncultured bacterium. RNAcentral describes it as "partial 16S ribosomal RNA". It matches the Rfam family "Bacterial small subunit ribosomal RNA", at positions 524 to 776 of the family's 1533-position model. The record is from RNAcentral.